RNAcentral lists this ribosomal RNA (300 nucleotides) under uncultured bacterium. Its description in RNAcentral is "bacterial SSU rRNA". It matches the Rfam family "Bacterial small subunit ribosomal RNA", at positions 333 to 632 of the family's 1533-position model. The record is from RNAcentral.
GUCCUCCUACGGGGCGCAGCAGUGGGGAAUAUUGCACAAUGGGGGAAACCCUGAUGCAGCGACGCCGCGUGAGUGAAGAAGUAUUUCGGUAUGUAAAGCUCUAUCAGCAGGGAAGAAAUACUGGCCUUACGGUCAGCAGACGGUACCUGACUAAGAAGCCCCGGCUAACUACGUGCCAGCAGCCGCGGUAAUACGUAGGGGGCAAGCGGUAUCCGGAUUUACUGGGGGUAAAGGGAGCGUAAACGGCAGCGGAAGUCUGAAGUGAAAUCCCAUGGCUUAACCAUGGAACUGCUUUGGAAA